AUUGAACGCUGGCGGCAUGCCUUACACAUGCAAGUCGAACGGCAGCGGGGGAGAAGCUUGCUUUUCCUGCCGGCGAGUGGCGAACGGGUGAGUAAUACAUCGGAACGUGCCCUGUAGUGGGGGAUAACUAGUCGAAAGAUUAGCUAAUACCGCAUACGACCCGAGGGUGAAAGUGGGGGACCGCAAGGCCUCAUGCUAUAGGAGCGGCCGAUGUCUGAUUAGCUAGUCGGUGGGGUAAAGGCCUACCAAGGCGACGAUCAGUAGCUGGUCUGAGAGGACGAUCAGCCACACUGGGACUGAGACACGGCCCAGACUCCUACGGGAGGCAGCAGUGGGGAAUUUUGGACAAUGGGCGAAAGCCUGAUCCAGCAAUGCCGCGUGUGUGAAGAAGGCCUUCGGGUUGUAAAGCACUUUUGUCCGGAAAGAAAUGGCUCUGGUUAAUACCUGGGGUCGAUGACGGUACCGGAAGAAUAAGGACCGGCUAACUACGUGCCAGCCGCCGCGGUAA
This 508-nucleotide ribosomal RNA is filed under the name uncultured bacterium. RNAcentral describes it as "partial 16S ribosomal RNA". It matches the Rfam family "Bacterial small subunit ribosomal RNA", at positions 30 to 523 of the family's 1533-position model. The record is from RNAcentral.